Non-coding RNA from Dethiosulfovibrio peptidovorans DSM 11002, 99 nucleotides. It matches the Rfam family "Bacterial small signal recognition particle RNA". From Rfam's summary of the family: The signal recognition particle (SRP) is a universally conserved ribonucleoprotein involved in the co-translational targeting of proteins to membranes. Archaeal SRP consists of a 7S RNA and homologues of the eukaryotic SRP19 and SRP54 proteins. The record is from Rfam. NCBI's taxonomy places the organism in Bacteria, Thermotogati, Synergistota, Synergistia, Synergistales, Dethiosulfovibrionaceae.
GGCCCAGUCCCGUGCGGCGAGAGCCCGUGAACCCCGUCAGGUCCGGAAGGAAGCAGCGGUAAGCGGUGUCCCUUGGGUGCCACGGCCACCUGGGUCUCC